AAUGUCGUAACAAGGUUUUCCGUAGGUGAACCUUGCGGAAGGAUCAUUACCAAUUUCGGGGGACUUCGGUCCCUGUCUGAACCCUUGUCUUUUGAGUACCAUUUGUUUCCCUUGGUAGGCUUUGCCUACCAAUUAGGACACUACUUAACCUCUUGUAAUUUGCAAUCAGCGUCAGAAAAAUCAUCAAUAGUUACAAA
RNAcentral lists this unclassified non-coding RNA (197 nucleotides) under plant metagenome. RNAcentral describes it as "partial contains small subunit ribosomal RNA and internal transcribed spacer 1". The record is from RNAcentral.